RNAcentral lists this unclassified non-coding RNA (337 nucleotides) under soil metagenome. RNAcentral describes it as "partial contains 5.8S ribosomal RNA, internal transcribed spacer 2, and large subunit ribosomal RNA". The stretch from base 1 to 120 matches the Rfam family "5.8S ribosomal RNA", at positions 35 to 154 of the family's 154-position model. The record is from RNAcentral.
GAUGAAGAACGUAGUGAAAUGCGAUAAGUAAUGUGAAUUGCAGAAUUCAGUGAAUCAUCGAAUCUUUGAACGCACAUUGCGCCCCUUGGUAUUCCGAGGGGCAUGCCUGAUCGAGCGUCAUUACACCACUCAAGCUAUGCUUGGUAUUGGGCGUCGUCCUUAGUUGGGCGCGCCUUAAAGACCUCGGCGAGGCCACUCCGGCUUUAGGCGUAGUAGAAUUUAUUCGAACGUCUGUCAAAGGAGAGGAACUCUGCCGACUGAAACCUUUAUUUUUCUAGGUUGACCUCGGAUCAGGUAGGGAUACCCGCUGAACUUAAGCAUAUCAAUAAGCGGAGGA